UGGGGAAUAUUGCACAAUGGGCGGAAGCCUGAUGCAGCGACGCCGCGUGGGGGAUGAAGGCCUUCGGGUUGUAAACUCCUUUCGACAGGGACGAAGCUUUUGUGACGGUACCUGUAUAAGAAGCACCGGCUAACUACGUGCCAGCAGCCGCGGUAAUACGUAGGGUGCGAGCGUUGUCCGGAAUUACUGGGCGUAAAGAGCUCGUAGGUGGUUUGUCGCGUCGUCUGUGAAAUUCCGGGGCUUAACUCCGGGCGUGCAGGCGAUACGGGCUGGCUUGAGUGCUGUAGGGGAGACUGGAAUUCCUGGUGUAGCGGUGAAAUGCGCAGAUAUCAGGAGGAGCACCGAUGGCGAAGGCAGGUCUCUGGGCAGUAACUGACGCUGAGGAGCGAAAGCAUGGGUAGCGAACAGG
RNAcentral lists this ribosomal RNA (409 nucleotides) under bacterium. RNAcentral's name for it is "partial 16S ribosomal RNA". It matches the Rfam family "Bacterial small subunit ribosomal RNA", at positions 355 to 776 of the family's 1533-position model. The record is from RNAcentral.